This 405-nucleotide ribosomal RNA is filed under the name uncultured bacterium. Its description in RNAcentral is "bacterial SSU rRNA". It matches the Rfam family "Bacterial small subunit ribosomal RNA", at positions 355 to 775 of the family's 1533-position model. The record is from RNAcentral.
UGGGGAAUUUUCCGCAAUGGGCGAAAGCCUGGCGGAGCAAUGCCGCGUGAAGGUAGAAGGCCUACGGGUCAUGAACUUCUUUUCCCGGAGAAGAAGCAAUGACGGUAUCCGGGGAAUAAGCAUCGGCUAACUCUGUGCCAGCAGCCGCGGUAAGACAGAGGAUGCAAGCGUUAUCCGGAAUGAUUGGGCGUAAAGCGUCUGUAGGUGGCUUUUUAAGUUCGCCGUCAAAUCCCAGGGCUCAACCCUGGACAGGCGGUGGAAACUACCAAGCUGGAGUACGGUAGGGGCAGAGGGAAUUUCCGGUGGAGCGGUGAAAUGCGUAGAGAUCAGGAAGAACACCAACGGCGAAAGCACUCUGCUGGGCCGACACCGACACUGAGAGACGAAAGCUAGGGGAGCGAAUGG